AUUGAACGCUGGCGGCAGGCCUAACACAUGCAAGUCGAGCGGAUGAAGGGAGCUUGCUCCUGGAUUCAGCGGCGGACGGGUGAGUAAUGCCUAGGAAUCUGCCUGGUAGUGGGGGAUAACGUCCGGAAACGGGCGCUAAUACCGCAUACGUCCUGAGGGAGAAAGUGGGGGAUCUUCGGACCUCACGCUAUCAGAUGCGCCUAGGUCGGAUUAGCUAGUUGGUGGGGUAAAGGCCUACCAAGGCGACGAUCCGUAACUGGUCUGAGAGGAUGAUCAGUCACACUGGAACUGAGAAACGGUCCAGACUCCUACGGGAGGCAGCAGUGGGGAAUAUUGGACAAUGGGCGAAAGCCUGAUCCAGCCAUGCCGCGUGUGUGAAGAAGGUCUUCGGAUUGUAAAGCACUUUAAGUUGGGAGGAAGGGCAGUAAGUUAAUACCUUGCUGUUUUGACGUUACCAACAGAAUAAGCACCGGCUAACUUCGU
This 483-nucleotide ribosomal RNA is filed under the name uncultured bacterium. RNAcentral's name for it is "partial 16S ribosomal RNA". It matches the Rfam family "Bacterial small subunit ribosomal RNA", at positions 30 to 506 of the family's 1533-position model. The record is from RNAcentral.